AACGAACGCUGGCGGCAUGCCUAACACAUGCAAGUCGAACGAGACCUUCGGGUCUAGUGGCGCACGGGUGCGUAACGCGUGGGAACCUGCCCUUAGGUUCGGAAUAACUCCCCGAAAGGGGUGCUAAUACCGGAUAAUGUCUUCGGACCAAAGAUUUAUCGCCUUUGGAUGAGCCCGCGUUGGAUUAGCUAGUUGGUAGGGUAAAAGCCUACCAAGGCGACGAUCCAUAGCUGGUCUGAGAGGAUGAUCAGCCACACUGGGACUGAGACACGGCCCAGACUCCUACGGGAGGCAGCAGUGGGUAAUAUUGGACAAUGGGCGAAAGCCUGAUCCAGCAAUGCCGCGUGAGUGAUGAAGGCCUUAGGGUUGUAAAGCUCUUUUAUCCGGGAUGAUAAUGACAGUACCGGGAGAAUAAGCACCGGCUAACUCCGUG
Molecule: ribosomal RNA, 433 nt
Filed under: uncultured bacterium
Lineage: Bacteria
Description: partial 16S ribosomal RNA
Rfam family: Bacterial small subunit ribosomal RNA
Source: RNAcentral